Brienomyrus brachyistius is the source of this 7310-nucleotide long non-coding RNA. RefSeq lists it as uncharacterized. The transcript is spliced from 8 exons. Lineage: Eukaryota; Metazoa; Chordata; Actinopteri; Osteoglossiformes; Mormyridae. The record is from RefSeq and is a predicted model, not a curated record.
GCACAUUUACAGCCCUCUUCCUUGCAGUCUUAACUACUGGGGAAGGAUUUCUGGUAAUAAAAAAAGUUGCUACACUGGACCUGCCAGAUUGCAGUUUAUUUAUGAUGUCUGAGGAUUACAUUCAUCUUCUCUGCUCCAGGACCUUCUCCAGUGCUUCUUUGGCACCAGAUGAAAACUUUUAUUCUUUCUUCCAUCUUAAUUAUUGUUGGAUGUAUCUCACAAGGUCAUUUUCGGAUCAAUAUCAGCUUUUGGAAUUAAAAACAUGGGGAGUACAGCACUGCUGAGCAUGCGGGCACGUCUUUGUGAUAAUUAGCGUGCCCCAGCCGUCCAGUUAUCGUACAGAAUCGAUGUCAUUGAGUUUGUAAGUACUUUCAAAUGAUAUUCCGUUAGUUGUUUCAGUCUUCUGGGGCCCCAGUCAUUGAUCCACCUACCCUGGGGUAGUGGUACCCCUCAUCUCUUACAAAUCCCAUGCUCCAUGACCAUAGGGCUUCAACUCAGAGGCGGAGAGGUACCAGCUUUCUGUAGUCAGAUGAUGUGAUCAGUCACAUGAGGAACAUGCAGAUGCAAUGGCUCUUAUGGGUUCGUCAAACCACACAUGUGAAUGAAGGAAGUUAACCUUUCUCCCAGGAUUGCGACCUCUUCUCUGCAUGCCAGCAGGUUGGUGCAGUUUGGAGGCUUCUAUUUUUAUAGGGUCCAGCACAGACGGCUUCCAGCGGACCAGACGGGCGUCGUCCUGGGAGGCGUCGUCCUCGGACUCCAGAUGAGCCAGAAGGUGCAGCGGGACCAAGGUCAUCGCCAGGGGUCAGUGUAAGGUGGACAAUCCUGGGGAAUGCCUGCAUAUCAGGAAUGCUUUUAUUCAGCCCUAUCUGCAGAUUUACACAGCAGCAUGGCCCCGCCCACCAGUUCGAACCUGCAACACAUGGGUUCAAAGAUUAUAUAACCUUAAACCCCAUUCAUCGUGCUGCUUUGUUAUAUAUGCUCUGUCCUGGUUAAAUAUAUGUGGUGUCUCCACAUAUGCAUGACACUGUAACUCUACCCCUUCGCCAGAAUGUGUGGCCCGGUACGUUAAAAUGCUGUGCUUCUCAUCAGAAGGCUGAUUGCCAGACUGAUGUCACCAUUGGGCCCCUGAGCAAGGCCCUUAACCCCCAUUUGCUCCAGGGACUGGUUGACCCUGCCUUCUUGGCUCGUACCAAAGGUGGGCUCUAUAUUGCUCAAGUUGCUUUUCUGGAAGCUCCCCUUCCACAGGGGACACUACAAACUACUCAUCAUUAGGAACCAGCAUGUGGAACCCUUCAGCUGGAGAAGAUUUGAGGUGUGGUGUAGCCUGGCUCUGUAGCGACCGUUUGAAGGCCGGGCAGCCAAUUAGGUGAGAUCUUCUGAGGGAAUGCUGACUUAACAACCCACCCUUCCUCACCAUCCAAGACAAAGGGGGCUACUGACAGUGAAGUCUGCCUGGAAUACAUCACUGGCUUUGACCAGCACUGGGUUGAAGGGCAGCAGAUCCCCGCUUUGUACCCCCAGUUAGAAGCAACACUUCCUGUACACACACCCUGCAGUGUAUUUGUCCUGCAAUCUCACCUCAAACUAUUAAUCGUUCAUCCUUUACCUUUACUUAAAGGGCACACCAGGAUCUCCCAUUUACAUUCCAUUCAGUCGUUAUUUCUAAUUAAGCUGAGUGGCAACAAAUAUUGCCACCUAAUUGUCCCGUUAAAGACCUGAUCGUGAAGGAUGGUGCAUGAAAAAUGGGGUAAUUAUGCAUUUAAUAGCAAGGUGCGCUAUGUAAAGUUAAUGUUUCAAAAAUGUUGCAUUUGUAUGCAAAUUGUCCUGAAAAUAAUACCCAGCAGCAUCUGCUCAGAAUCUAUUCUGGGCCUGAAAUUGGCAGGUUUGUGACGGAAAUCAAGGUGGGUGGGCGGCACCUCGGUUAAUAAAUGUCACAGUUUUAAUUAGCUCUAUUUAAGUUAGCAUUGCCAGUGUUUAGUUUCAUUAUGGUUACCGCAAUUCCAUCAAUGAGCUGAAUGGUAUUUACAUGUAGCAAAGGCACUGCUAGGUAUUUAAUCAAGUCGAUAUGUUGGUUAAUGAGCACCCCCAGAUGAGAUUUGUGCAUUCACUGUAGAUUAUCCUGUAUGUUUAAUUAGCGGUAGAGCGCCAUCUGGGGGAACUCUGCUGCACUAACAUCAUCACGGGCCUAACAGCUCUCUCAGCAGUGUUGUUGACGUGUUUCCUGCCCCCUCAGGUGAAGGUGGGGUUCUUACAUGCCGCAUGUCUUGUAACAGCGCCGCCCUAGCUGCCUGCCUUGGCACCAGACUAUGGGAAAUCCUUAGAGUACUUUAUGCUUUUCUCCGUAAGCAGCACUCCCCUAUGUUCUCGUCCCCAUGGAAACAGCCCCCUGCCCCAAUUCUGGGCUUCAGGGUGGUGUUCCGGAUUAUGCAGGACGUACAUUCAAUUGGGAGGCUCAUGGGGGAGGGGGAGAGAUGGAGACAACGGGGCCAAGGUAGGUGUAAUAAAUAAAAAGUGACCUUGGUUUGUAGGGACCAGCAACGUGUGCACAGAAAUGUACGUAGUGUGUGGCCACGCAUUUGUGACCCCUCCGUCGCUAACGACACGUCACGCCAAUGGCAGGAGGUGCUGGUGCAACUGCAUCUGACAUAUUCUUGGCUGUGAAAAGCAAAACCCUUAAAAAGAUGAGUGUAGUCUGAUGAAUAGAGUAGAGACCAUCAGAGUUGGCAUCUCUAGACCGGCAGCAUUCGUGGAGGCUAGCUGUGGUUGAUGCCCUUGAUGUCAACAGCGGCACCAUCCAUCCAUCCAUCCAUCCAUCCAUCCAUCCAUCCAUCCAUCCAUCCAUCCAUCCUCUAACCGCUUACCCUGCUCAAUUUUAUAGGUUGUUAAGAACAUAAUUAUUGCAUUAUUAUUGUGGUGUUUUAUAAUCUGUUAGGGCUUUGUUCAGCAGUUGUCUCAUGCUAUAUAUGAAUUGUACAUUUGUUUCAAGGCGAAUCAACUUCUAAAUCUUCUUUGUGGUACCUGGUAUUUUUCACUGAUGCUCCUGAGCAUGGAUGAGACCGAAAGGCCCCAGGAGGAAGGUCAGCUCAUUUCUGAGACCUGUUCACCUCUACAUACACGUCCUAAGCUGGGGGAUGGACCACAUCCGAGUUCCACAUACAAGGUUUUCCAGACUCUUCGUGUCCCUUCCUUCUUAUGCCGGUCACCGCAACCCUCUACUAGAUCAGUGGUUAUGGAUGGAUGGUCUGACUAACGAUCCUGCUUUGUUUCUCCCUGCUUCCUGAUCUCCUGAGUUAAGUUGCCCUCUGCUAGGUCUGUACUUUCAAUCCUUCAAAUUUCUCAGGCUGCUUUUACCUCGGACCACACCGUGACCCUAGAGCUCAUGUGUAGAUUUUGAAGGCCCUGUGUAGAUUUUGAAGGCCCCGUGUAGAUGCUGGAGCUCCUGUGUAAAUGUCACACCUUGGUUUCUGAGGUCACAUCCACACUGUUACAUUUUCGUUUAAAAACUAAACGAAAAUGAUCUCCAUGCGAAAGUAUUUCCAUCCAGACUAAAAUGAGCAAAAACAUGCAUGAUGUUUAUUUUAGCCCACAUUGGGCAUGCAUGCAUCGAGGUCAGACGAAAGAGUUCCUCUGGUUCCUCACCCGGGACAGGAGAAGGAAGGGGUGAGUAGGGUCCGCGUUCAUGGUUUGAGGUUCCGCAAGCGUUUGGCCUCUUGAGUUGACACCAAGAGGAUGGGUGCAGCUGACGAAUGGCACAAAUCAUGUUCAGUCAAAUUCCUCACCUAAAGGUCUUGCUUUAUUAUACCAAGAAUGUCAACGGACCCUUGGAGCCCUGCAAUGAUGUGACCUUUGGCUUGGGUGUAGGCUGUGGGUGCGUCACAGAUUUGGGCAGGGAGUUGAGUACCUGAUCUUUACCCUUGGGUUUAAAAAUGUGCACCUCUUCCAUACCCUGCAAGUGACUGACUUUCUUUCCAGCUCCCCUCCCCUCCUAUGUCCCUAAGAAAUGGAAAUACAUUUUCUCUUGUGUGCCAAAAAACAUGAUAGGGAAGUCGAGCUGCCAAAUAACUGCCUCUCGUCAUCCUGAAAUAACCAGCAUGUGUAUAUCUGAAGGGUAACGCUUCAUUCUCCUCUGAUGAAACCUUCCUGGCCAAGGAAGGAGAUUUAAGUUUAAGCCAUCGAAGCAGAGAAUUAUCACUCCAUCGCCAGUGUGGUUGUUAAAUCAGAGCGAGGGUGAAGGUGAAUUUGCACAAAUCGUUAGAGCUUUAUAAAGGAAAUGGCUUAGCAGAGGAAGCUUUUAUGGAAACGUUACUUAGUCAUCACGGAAAAUUGGUAUUUACUUCGUUGCAGAGGCUAACCUGGGCUAUAGUCUGGGACCCUGACAAACCUCUGGGCCAUCCGCUGCCUUGGGAGAAAUGAAAGAGUUAAUUAAAUCGGCAGCACCUGAGCAUGCAUGGUGAAGUCAGCCGAGGGCCGCCAGAUAAGUGAAUCCCCCCCCCGCUUUAGUAUUUAUUUGAGUAGGUCUUCCAGAGUAGGGGCCUCCAGAUCUAGUGUCCUUAACCACUGCGCCACCUGCUGCCCAGUACUAUUAUUUUCGAAAGAUAUUUUCGAAAUUGAGCUUCUGCUUUUAAUGCCCAUGUUCUGGCAUGUCAAAACAUGCCUUUUCUGCUGUUUACAAUGAGUGGCACCUACCCACUCAUUGCCGUCGGAUCACCCGAGAAGUCGAGAUAUUUAUUUUACACAUCACAUCUAGACCUCCGACCCAUCGCUCGGUCAGUGUUAUCGGUUAUGAAUUUUCCGGCAACGUGCCUUCGUGCGGUCAGAGCAGGCAGGGGGCAGACAGCUAGGCAGGCGCUAUCACGUCUGCCUCCCUCUGCUAGCCUCCCAUCUGCCACUGCCUGCUUUCGUAGCUCGGCUGGUAGCGUGAGGACUGCGGAAGUGUAGCGAUGGACGCCCAUAGGUUACUGGUUCAUGUCCAGCUUGAGGAGUAUCGAUUUCCUUCUCUGACAAACUCUGCACUGUUUCUUAUUCUCUUUUUACUCUCUGAAUGUGAGUUGUGGUGCUACUGUAAACCUACCAUUUCCUUUGUGGUUAAUGAAUUAUCUAUCUGGCUGCCUUGCCUGUCUGUCUGCCUGUCCGUCUAAUCUUGCAUUUCAUCCUCAACUUAUAAACUUUUCCUAUCUUGAAAUGAUCUAUUUAUAAUCUUCCUGUUUUAACUAAAAAUGAAGACUUCAGGGUGACACUGCAGGGGAAUGGGUCAGCGAGGAACUAGAGAGGAGAACUCACUUAUUAAGAAGGAGCGACUCUUCUUCAUAAAAACACGCUCUGGUUUAUUACAUUCAGCCAUGUUUGAAAACAGGCAUCGUCCUCCAGCAGGGCCUCACGGGCAGGGUGCGGCCAAGCCGUGCCGAUUCUGCACCAAAGACUUUAAAAUCAAUCUGCCUUGCAUUACGUCAUCUUUUAUUCAUUUUAUUCCCUUUUCUCCUGCUUUGGGCUGCGGGUCCGUCGGCCUCUAACAGGCCUAUCGGCAUUUCGAGACGUGCGCGAAUCGAGACUCGGGCCGGGUCACUAAGUGUCAAGUACCCUUGACAUUUUCCUCUUUACAUUGUGGACUGUGGAAAUCCCCAGUUAAACAUUAUCACAAACCAGAAGCUUUUUUUCUAUCUGAAAAUGCCACCAGACUAGAACAGAAGUAUUGAAUCUGGCUCUUUGAUCGUUGUUAUUUCCUGUGAUGUACAACAGCUUAAAAUAAGUAGACCUUAAGCGUGGUACUAAUAAGAGAAUGUCCCCUCUCAGUAUGUUUUGUUAAUUUUUAUGUGUGGUGUGGACAUUCAUAUAUGAAUAAUGGUUUAAUUUGAUAUUUUCUAGUUAAAAUUUUUUAUGCUUUUGCAAUUCAUCAUUAAAAGCUCCUUUCUUUUUAAUUUUACAGAAAAAGACAUCAGCUGAAUGAACUGCACCAAUAAGUUUUACGAAGUGCCAGGAAUCCAAGCCUAAUCCCGUUACAUGGCAUAUUGAUGGCAUACAGCGUCUACGGCCAGGCGGUUACAUGUUGAAUUUAUGAUUUCGCUUGCUUUAAUAAAAGAUUAUUAAACUAUUAAACGGUGCUGUUCCUGUAAUCAGUAUUCCAAUUAAAAAAAUCUGAUUAUUAUGUUUUAUUCCCAUAGAAUGGUCCAACAAAUUUUACGGUUACAAUCAGCAGAAAAGUAUAAAUAUUAAUGACAUUAAAAUUAUUAAUAUUAAUUAUUAAGCUGUGGGUUAAAAUACAUACAGAUCCGCACUUGAUCCUCCAUGCUUUGUGCCCUUUAUAAGCUAAAGUAGCGUCAUCUGUGCUUUGUGUUCUACAGGAGUUAUCUUAACAUCACGUCUGCUUUGUGUUCUGCAGUGAAUCAUUUAUGGGUUGCCACAACGUUCACUGUGCUUUUAUGUCCUUCCUGGGUUACCAUAACAUCACCAGCAUAUAAGGGAGAGUGUGAAUAUAUAUAUAUUUUUUUCUACCUGCACAGAAUGAGUGAUCUGCUUUUCCCGGUCCUGUACAUGACGGAAUAGGACGCCGGUACCUCCCGACCCUCCGUGUCCUUCAUGGGCCGAGAGCUAAAGAGAGGAUUGGCCUAUCGCACAAAGGGAGACCCAGCAAGGACGGGCAGACCAUGCAAACGUCACACGCAUGACAACUUUCAACCCUGGAGGUGUGAGCGUACAGUGUUACCCACUGCAACACUGUGGCGUCCACUAUAUGACUACAAGUCAUCACCAUGGGCUCCCCCAGAUUCACAGGGCUCGGGUCACCUGCACUCCGGGUUCCGAUGGCUUCUGAUUGGCUGAAAAAGCUCAGCUCCUUGGAUGUGUUUGGCUCGUGGGAGAAGAGUGCCUUCAUCCAAUCAGCAAGCCCACAUCUUUUCAUGCCAAAAACUGAACUACAGUAGAGUGGCGGUUUCUCAUUUGGGGACAGGGGGAUAAGUUCUCUGUUUGUCAAAUGCCCCAGUUUGCUGAAGAGCUUGUAAAUACACUCUUCAGAGUUCUGUGCUCUUUGGAGACAUUUUCUUCAUUCCUUGAGUAUUUCUCCCAGAAUCCCAAUUCUGUAUAUUUGCUCCUGAAGUCUUUCAUGUUUCCCAUUGAUCUUGCUCUGCCAUUGGUUGCUUUUGCUUUUUUCCCAUUGAACGGCACUUGUGAUGACUAAAGAAGGUUACCCCCCAUUUCAAGGCGAAAAAAUGCAGCUGAAGUACAAUUUAAUUACAGCUCGAGGAAUCUGUUCCAUUAAUUAAAAAGCUGAAGUGAGCCAUCAGCAAAUCUGCUCCUCCUUUGGGUUUCAUCGACCC